GUCCGGAAUUAUUGGGCGUAAAAGCGCGGCGCAGGCGGUUUUUUUAAGUCUGAUGUGAAAGCCCCACGGCUUCAACCGUGGAAGGGUCAUUUGGAAACUGGGGAACUUGGAGUGCAAAAAGAGAAGAGUGGAAUUCCACGUGUAGCGGUGAAAUGCGUAGAAGAUGUGGAGGAACACCAGUGGCGAAGGCGACUCUCUGUUCUGUAACUGACGCUGAGGAGCGAAAGCGUGGGGAACGACAAGGAUUAGAUACCCUGGUAGUUCACGGCGUAAACGAUGAGUGCUAAGUGUUAGAGGGUAUUCGCCCUUUAGUGCUGACAGCAAACGCAUUAAGCACUCCGGCUGGGGGAAUACGGUUGCAAGACUGAAACUCAUAGGAAUUGAGCGAGCGGGGGCCCGCACAAGCGGUGGAGCAUGGUGGUUUAUUUCGAAGCACGGGUGGACGCCAACAACCUUACCAGGUCUUGACAUCCUUCGCUACUUCUAGAGAUAGAAGGUUCCCCUUCGGGGGACGAAGUGACAGGUGGUGCAUGGUUGUCGUCAGCUCGUGUCGUGAGAUGUUGGGUUAAGUCCCGCAACGAGCGCAACCCUUGAUCUUAGUUGCCAGCAUUCAGUUGGGCACUUUAAGGUGACUGCCGGUGACAAACCGGAGGAAGGUGGGGAUGACGUCAAAUCAUCAUGCCCCUUAUGACCUGGGCUACACACGUGCUACAAUGGAUGGUACAAAGGGCUGCAAGACCGCGAGGUCAAGCCAAUCCCAUAAAACCAUUCUCAGUUCGGAUUGCAGGCUGCAACUCGCCUGCAUGAAGCCGGAAUCGCUAGUAAUCGCGGAUCAGCAUGCCGCGGUGAAUACGUUCCCGGGCCUUGUACACACCGCCCGUCACACCACGAAG
This 893-nucleotide ribosomal RNA is filed under the name Bacillus sp. (in: firmicutes). RNAcentral's name for it is "bacterial SSU rRNA". It matches the Rfam family "Bacterial small subunit ribosomal RNA", at positions 543 to 1409 of the family's 1533-position model. The record is from RNAcentral. Lineage: Bacteria; Bacillati; Bacillota; Bacilli; Caryophanales; Bacillaceae.